AGCCUAUAUAGUGAAAUUCAUGUCAGAUUGCAAAUCUGAAGAUACAGAAGAUGUUCUGUUAUGGCUU
This 67-nucleotide transfer RNA is filed under the name Geotria australis. RNAcentral describes it as "tRNA-Cys". The record is from RNAcentral. Lineage: Eukaryota; Metazoa; Chordata; Hyperoartia; Petromyzontiformes; Geotriidae.